UUUACUGGGCGUAAAGCGUCUGCAGGCGGACAGGUAAGUUGGGCGUGAAAGCUCCGUGCUCAACGCGGAGAGGUCGUUCAAUACUGCGUGUCUAGAGGGUGUCAGAGGGGAGUGGAAUUUCCGGAGUAGCGGUAAAAUGCGCAGAGAUCGGAAAGAACACCAAUGGCGAAAGCAGCUCCCUGGGGCACACCUGACGCUAAGAGACGAAAGCUAGGGGAGCGAACAGGAUUAGAGACCCUGGUAGUCCUAGCCCUAAACGAUGGAUGCUGGAUGUGGGACCAUAGAGUUCCGUGUCGAAGCAAACGCGUUAAGCAUCCCGCCUGGGGACUACGGCCGCAAGGUUAAAACUCAAACGAAUUGACGGGACCCCGCACAAGCAGCGGAGCGUGUGGUUUAAUUCGAUGCUACACGAAGAACCUUACCUGGGUUUGACAUCUAGGUGGUAGCGAAGUGAAAGCGGAGCGACCCUUCGGGGAGCCUAGACAGGUGCUGCAUGGCUGUCGUCAGCUCGUGCCGUGAGGUGUCGGGUUAAGUCCCGUAACGAGCGCAACCCUUGCCCUCCGUUAUACGUGUCAGAGGGGACUGCCGGCGGUAAGCCGGAGGAAGGUGGGGAUGACGUCAAGUCAGCAUGGCCUUUAUAUCCAGGGCUACACACACGCUACAAUGGCCAGUACAAAGGGCAGCGAAGCCGCGAGGUGGAGCGAAUCCCAGCAAAGCUGGUCGUAGUUCGGAUUGCAGGCUGCAACCCGCCUGCAUGAAGCUGGAGUUGCUAGUAACCGCGCGUCAGCCAUAGUGCGGUGAUACGUUCCCGGGGUUUGUACACACCGCCCGUCACGUCAUGGGAGUCGAUAACGCCUGAAGCCGGUGGCCUAGCUCGGAAGAGAGGGCGCUGUCUAAGGCGGGGU
RNAcentral lists this ribosomal RNA (905 nucleotides) under uncultured organism. Its description in RNAcentral is "bacterial SSU rRNA". It matches the Rfam family "Bacterial small subunit ribosomal RNA", at positions 550 to 1468 of the family's 1533-position model. The record is from RNAcentral.